This 253-nucleotide ribosomal RNA is filed under the name uncultured bacterium. Its description in RNAcentral is "partial 16S ribosomal RNA". It matches the Rfam family "Bacterial small subunit ribosomal RNA", at positions 524 to 776 of the family's 1533-position model. The record is from RNAcentral.
UACAGAGGAUGCAAGCGUUAUCCGGAAUGAUUGGGCGUAAAGCGUCUGUAGGUGGCUUUUUAAGUCCGCCGUCAAAUCCCAGGGCUCAACUCUGGACAGGCGGUGGAAACUACCAAGCUGGAGUACGGUAGGGGCAGAGGGAAUUUCCGGUGGAGCGGUGAAAUGCGUAGAUAUUGGGAGGAACACCAGUGGCGAAGGCGGCUCACUGGACCGGUUCUGACGCUGAGGCGCGAAAGCGUGGGGAGCAAACGGG